Molecule: ribosomal RNA, 255 nt
Filed under: uncultured bacterium
Lineage: Bacteria
Description: partial 16S ribosomal RNA
Rfam family: Bacterial small subunit ribosomal RNA
Source: RNAcentral
UACGUAGGGGGCAAGCGUUGUCCGGAUUUAUUGGGCGUAAAGAGCUCGUAGGUGGUUCGGUAAGUCGGAUGUGAAAUCUCCAGGCUCAACCUGGAGGGGUCAUUCGAUACUGCCGUGACUAGAGGUCGGUAGGGGAGUGUGGAAUUCCUGGUGGAGCGGGUGAAAUGCGCAGAUAUCAGGAGGAACACCCGUAGCGAAGGCGGCACUCUGGGCCGAUACUGACACUGAGGAGCGAAAGUGCGGGAGGCGAACAGG